This is a long non-coding RNA of Sesamum indicum (sesame), 495 nucleotides long. RefSeq lists it as uncharacterized. The record is from RefSeq and is a predicted model, not a curated record. Lineage: Eukaryota; Viridiplantae; Streptophyta; Magnoliopsida; Lamiales; Pedaliaceae.
UUGGGAAGAAAUUGUGCUGCAAAUGGCAAACCUCUUCCACUCUUUUCUGGCUGCUAUCUUUUUCUUUGUUCUCAUCUCAGGGGGUUUGGGGAAAACUUGCCAAUUGGACAUAGGAGAUACCUGCACGUUGCAGGCUCCAUCAGUGUGUGAUGGCAUAUGCAGAAACUACAUGGGAGAUGUGUUUGAGUACUCACAAUGUCUGAAUGCACCAGGUCACAAAGAUUUCUACCAUUGCAGGUGCUUUUACAAGUGUAAUGGUUGAAGCCACUCCACUUAAUUGGUGUCUCAAUAUAUUAUCAACUAUUACUUUGCAUUUGUUGGGUGUUGGGGUGUAUUUCAUAAUUAAGGGUUCUUGGUGGCCUCUUGUUGUAAUAAUUUGUUGUCGUGGUUAUUGGCUGUUGUUUUUAUGUUAUUAUAUUUUGUAUGUAUGAUAGAGAAUGGUCGAAAUCUGGAAGGAUCGACUUUAAAAAUUAUAUUAAUAUAAAUUAUAGUAAA